UACGGGAGGCAGCAGUGGGGAAUAUUGCACAAUGGGCGCAAGCCUGAUGCAGCCAUGCCGCGUGUAUGAAGAAGGCCUUCGGGUUGUUAAAGUACUUUCAGUCGUGAGGAAGGUGUUAAGGUUAAUAACCUUAGCAAUUGACGUUAAGCGACAGAAGAAGCACCGGCUAACUCCGUGCCAGCAGCCGCGGUAAUACGGAGGGUGCGAGCGUUAAUCGGAAUUACUGGGCGUAAAGGGCACGCAGGCGGUUAAUUAAGUUGGAUGUGAAAUCCCCGGGCUUAACCUGGGAAUGGCAUUCAAGACUGGUUAGCUAGAGUCUUGUAGAGGGGGUAGAAUUCCAUGUGUAGCGGUGAAAUGCGUAGAGAUGUGGAGGAAUACCGGUGGCGAAGGCGGCCCCCUGGACAAAGACUGACGCUCAUGUGCGAAAGCGUGGGGAGGCAAACAGGGAUUAGAUACC
This 457-nucleotide ribosomal RNA is filed under the name uncultured bacterium. RNAcentral describes it as "bacterial SSU rRNA". It matches the Rfam family "Bacterial small subunit ribosomal RNA", at positions 340 to 786 of the family's 1533-position model. The record is from RNAcentral.